This 379-nucleotide ribosomal RNA is filed under the name uncultured bacterium. RNAcentral's name for it is "bacterial SSU rRNA". It matches the Rfam family "Bacterial small subunit ribosomal RNA", at positions 521 to 896 of the family's 1533-position model. The record is from RNAcentral.
UAAUACGUAGGGGGCGAGCGUUGUCCGGAUUUAUUGGGCGUAAAGAGCUCGUAGGCGGCUUGGCAAGUCGGGUGUGAAAACUCCAGGCUCAACCUGGAGACGCCACUCGAGACUGCUAUGGCUAGAGUCCGGUAGGGGACCACGGAAUUCCUGGUGUAGCGGUGAAAUGCGCAGAUAUCAGGAGGAACACCGGUGGCGAAGGCGGUGGUCUGGGCCGGCACUGACGCUGAGGAGCGAAAGCGUGGGGAGCAAACAGGAUUAGAUACCCUGGUAGUCCACGCCGUAAACGUUGGGCACUAGGUGUGGGACCUUAUCAACGGGUUCCGUGCCGUAGCUAACGCAUUAAGUGCCCCGCCUGGGGAGUACGGCCGCAAGGCUA